RNAcentral lists this long non-coding RNA (206 nucleotides) under Carica papaya (papaya). RNAcentral describes it as "long non-coding RNA (CPAP_LNC003635)". Lineage: Eukaryota; Viridiplantae; Streptophyta; Magnoliopsida; Brassicales; Caricaceae. The record is from RNAcentral.
GUUGGGAUAGGUAGAACUUCCUUUUUAAGCUGCCACCAAUGUUCGGCUUCACCGGUUAGCAUAAAGGCUGCUAGGGAAGCUUUUUGUUCCUUGUUUAGGUCUAAGAUAGAGAAAAACUUCUUUAUCUACAGGAUCCAAGCUUUGGCUACUUAGGGGUCGGGGCCUCAUUCAAAGUGGGGUGGAUUAAAUUUCUUAAACUCUACUAU